This 607-nucleotide long non-coding RNA is filed under the name Malus domestica (apple). Its description in RNAcentral is "long non-coding RNA (MDOM_LNC000979)". Lineage: Eukaryota; Viridiplantae; Streptophyta; Magnoliopsida; Rosales; Rosaceae. The record is from RNAcentral.
UCUUGCUCGAAAGUAUUGGGUGUUCGCCGAAGGUUCUCUAUGUUUCACUGUGCUUCACAGCGACGAGGAAGAGUGCGAGAGGUAGGGGUGGGAAAUUUUGCCAUAAACCGAUUUACCAACUGAACCAUACAUGUCGGCUCAUAAUGAUAUGGUAUGGUUUUGGCAUUUUUUCAUAAUUGGUUGGCAUUUUACCGAACCAACAAUUAAUGGCAUGGCUUUGGUAAUUGAUUUUGUAUGUCGACCGUAUGCCAUACCUACCAAUAUAUAUAUAAAUUUUUUUUUUCUAUUUAGAUAUUUUAGGUAUUUUUAACAUGCUUGACUCCUUAGUUUUAGGGUUUAGAAAAUAAAUAACUCCUUAGUUUUAGGGUUUAAAAAAUAUGUGUAUAUGUAUAUGAUUCAUGCAAUAACAAAUAUAGAAAAUAUUGUUAACAAAAUUGAUAGCAUGAUGAUUACUGAUACUAUAUAUACACGUACAUAUAUAUGAUUUUGAAUGUAUAAUGUAUAUGUGUUGCUUAUGUUUAGGAUGAUGGAGUCUAGCCAAUCAACGGUUAAUGCACAACAUGGAUUAACCCAAAAUGAACCACAUAAUGCAACCGAACAAGCACCC